GACGAACGCUGGCGGCGUGCUUAACACAUGCAAGUCGAACGGAAAGGCCCUGCUUUUUUGGGCUGCUCGAGUGGCGAACGGGUGCGUAACACGUGAGUAACCUGCCCUUGACUUUGGGAUAACUUCAGGAAACUGGGGCUAAUACCGGAUAGGAGCUCCUGCUGCAUGGUGGGGGUUGGAAAUUUUCGGCGGUUGGGGAUGGACUCGCGGCUUAUCAGCUUGUUGGUGGGGUAGUGGCUUACCAAGUCUUUGACGGGUAGCCGGCCUGAGAGGGUGACCGGCCACAUGGGGACUGAGAUACGGCGCAGACUCCUACGGGAGGCAGCAGUGGGGAAUAUUGCACAAUGGGCGGAAGCCUGAUGCAGCAACGCCGCGUGCGGGAUGACGGCCUUCGGGUUGUAAACCGCUUUCGCCUGUGACGAAGCGUGAGUGACGGUAAUGGGUAAAGAAGCACCGGCUAACUACGUG
Molecule: ribosomal RNA, 468 nt
Filed under: uncultured bacterium
Lineage: Bacteria
Description: partial 16S ribosomal RNA
Rfam family: Bacterial small subunit ribosomal RNA
Source: RNAcentral